GNGAAGGAUCAUUAGUGAAUACAAACGCUUGGGUGUCUCUGCUUCGGCAAGCCCCUCGCACCCUUCACAUCCAUAACACCUGUGCACUGUAAGAUGACUCUAGGGCUUCGGCCUCUGGGUUGUCUGACCUUUUUACAAACUAUUAUAUGUAACAAAUGUAGUCUUAUUAUAACAAAAUAAAACUUUCAACAACGGAUCUCUUGGCUCACACAUCGAUGAAGAACGCAGCGAAACGCGAUAGGUAAUGUGAAUUGCAGAAUUCAGUGAAUCAUCGAAUCUUUGAACGCAUCUUGCGCUUGCUGGUAUUCCGGCAAGCAUGCCCUGUUUGAGUGUCAUGAAACUUAUCAACCGUGACUUGGGUUUAGGCCCCUGGCUCGGCUUGGAUUUGGGUGCUUGCGGCCUCGUGCUGCUCACCUUAAAAGGAUUAGCUGGACAUGUCGUGAGACUUGGUUCUACUUGGCGUAAUAAGUAUUUCGCUGAGGACAUCCCUCUCGUGGGGUGGCCAAGACUCUAGUGCAAACGUCUGCUUUCUAACCCGAUCGUCCUCGGACAUCACUUUUUAUGAUCUGGCCUCAAAUCAGGUAGGACUACCCGCUGAACUUAAGCAUAUCAAUAAGCGGAGGAAAAGAAACUAACAAGGAUUCCCCUAGUAACGGCGAGUGAAGCGGGAAGAGCUCAAAUUUGAAAUCUAACGGACUCAGUCUGUUCGAGUUGUAAUCUAUAGGAACGUUUUCGUGCCGGCUCAUGUACAAGUCUCUUGGAACAGAGCGUCAUAGAGGUGAGAAUUCUCGUCUUUGAACACGGACUACCAGUGCUUUNUGAUGCGCUCCUCGACGAGUCGAGUUGUUUGGGAAUGCA
Molecule: ribosomal RNA, 858 nt
Filed under: uncultured fungus
Lineage: Eukaryota; Fungi
Description: eukaryotic LSU rRNA
Rfam family: Eukaryotic large subunit ribosomal RNA (bases 568-858)
Source: RNAcentral